This is a long non-coding RNA of Manis javanica (Malayan pangolin), 2171 nucleotides long. RefSeq lists it as uncharacterized. NCBI's taxonomy places the organism in Eukaryota, Metazoa, Chordata, Mammalia, Pholidota, Manidae. The record is from RefSeq and is a predicted model, not a curated record.
GCCCUCCGUACCAUCAGCCACUGUCUGUGCAGCAUCACCGUGAGCGCUCUGACCACCUGGGGAGCGGGCCCAGCUCACCUGAGAUGCUCGCACCCCAGCACACUCGCAACUGGCGUCUCUGCUCCAGCCCAGGAGCUUUACCUGAGUGGGAGCAGAGCUGCGGCGCGAGCCCCUGGUGGUCCCCCAGGAGGGAGAGGAGCUGGACGGCACCCAGCACGCUGGGCAGGGCUGUCUCUGGGCGGAGGCACUGCGGCAGUAUGCGGAACAAGCCCUGCAACCUGAAACACAGGCCAGGACCCGGGACACUCCAAUCCAGCCUGUGGCACAGCCGAGCAGAUGGCAGAUGCAGGCAGGGCUGGUGCAAAGACGUAUUCAGAGAUCUGGGCCCAGGGCCAGGUAACCACCACCGGCUUGCUAGAGCGCUUAUGGCACAUGGCCGCCAGGGACUGCCCUUCCCUGCAGGGCUGCUGUGGCUUAGCAGUGACAGGCCCUUACCUGGCACAGCACCACACAGCCAAUGGGGGACUGCCUCUCUGAUCUGAGGGGCCCAGUCUCUGCUGCCCAAUAGGCAGGUCCUAACGUGGGUGUGAGAAAUCCUGUGCCCGCCAUCAAAGGACUGGCCAGGUUCUGGAGGGACAGACGUGGACCUGACUGUGGCUGCACCUCAUGAGACUGCUCACUGAGCAAGGAAGACCCUCUCCACCUGUCAGAAGGCGGCUCCUCUGCCACCAAGAAUGAGAAGAAGGUGCAGCCUACUUCCCUUCUCCUUGAACGUGGCCCAGGCUCAGUGACUCACUGCAAACGGAACAUGCGGGGGUGAUGCUUAUGCGACUCCAAGUUCCAGGGCUGAUGCCAACGGUGUGCCAGACUACUCACAAGCUCAUCGCAUCUGCAGCUAAGGGGCUGCUGGACAGAGGUCCCAGGGCAGCCAGUGCCAAACAGUAUUGCACGUAGUUGGGAUGGAAAUACACUCAUGCAUGGAGCACAGCCAGUUAUUUGAAACAAGAUAACAUGAAAAGAAAGUCUGGCCUACUCCCAAAGUUUGGAGAGCAUCUCUGCAGCCUUUUCCGGUCCCAAGGAGUUGUGUUUACAACCUCCUCUAUGCCUGCCUCUCAGCUGUGAUGCUCCAAACCAGUCAAGCCUCAUCCGAACCACUGCUGAGGCCCACGUCCAGGUGACAGAGUGUAAGUGGCCUUCCUUCAGGACUAGCCUGACAGUCCUAUUCAGACUCUCCACCGAACGAUGCAAAGCCACUCCCCCAGCACCACUUUACCUGGCACGGGAAAUGGAGGGGGCAGCCGGCUUAUUUGCUCGCUCACUGCUUUGAAGCUUUGUCCUCAACUCAUUCAUUUCUGCAUCUUUAAAGUGAAGUUCAGACUGCAGUGACUGGAGCUGGAAGCAGAAACAACACACCUGUAGUGUGCCUGCCACAGACACAGAAACAUCUCUGGGCUUCGGAAUCUCAAGCUGGGGAAGGAGAAACGAUGAGAAACAAGUAUGGAAGUUGGUUGUGGCAUAAAUGUCCUAAAAGACCAAGGGUCAGCCUCCUUCCUGAGAGGCAGCAUGGUGUUCUAGAGACUUUUGCACAAAACUAUUGUGAGGUGGCCAGUGAGGUUCAGGACCACAGACUCAGCCUCUCUGAGACAGUCAGAGUGAUAAAUGUCAGGCUCCUGGUGCAGAGCCUUUGGACACCACGCCGCACAGGGACGCAUUGGCCUCUUCGUGAACUCAGUGGCACCCAAUUCCAGGUCUCCUCUAAAGCCUGGGCAGCAUGUCUGGAAGUUUUAGCAAGACCCCGUGCAGGUGGGGAGAUGGUGCCGCUCUGGUCUUGUGGCCUAGAGCCAGCAGCCACGGAGCCAGGCACAGCACUGGAGCCCGCUGGCACAUGGAGACCCUUUGGGUGAUUUCCUGGAGCAGCUAAGGGAACGAGCCAUAGAGCCAGGUCAUUACCCUGAGGUCACCGCUUGUAUGUGAUAAAGCCUGGGUUCAGUCUCUGCUCUGCUGGAGUUUUUGACAUCCCAUCUAAUCUGGGGACCUUAUGAAUAUCUGUAAAAGACAGUUCCAAUAGACUCUUCAGGACCUAAUAUAUUCCCACUUUGGCCAACAAUGUUGAAAAGCAUCACCCUUGAAAACAAAUUAGAGAAUCUAGUAAGCAGUAUUUUCUAAUCUAA